This 433-nucleotide ribosomal RNA is filed under the name uncultured bacterium. RNAcentral's name for it is "partial 16S ribosomal RNA". It matches the Rfam family "Bacterial small subunit ribosomal RNA", at positions 29 to 507 of the family's 1533-position model. The record is from RNAcentral.
AACGAACGCUGGCGGCAGGCUUAACACAUGCAAGUCGAACGGAUCCUUCGGGAUUAGUGGCGGACGGGUGAGUAACGCGUGGGAACGUACCCUUUGCUACGGAAUAACUCAGGAAAACUUGAGCUAAUACCGAAUGUGCCCUACGGGGGAAAGAUUUAUCGGCAAAGGAUCGGCCCGCGUUGGAUUAGCUAGUUGGUGGGGUAAUGGCCUACCAAGGCGACGAUCCAUAGCUGGUCUGAGAGGAUGAUCAGCCACACUGGGACUGAGACACGGCCCAGACUCCUACGGGAGGCAGCAGUGGGGAAUAUUGGACAAUGGGCGCAAGCCUGAUCCAGCCAUGCCGCGUGAGUGAUGAAGGUCUUAGGAUUGUAAAGCUCUUUCACCGGUGAAGAUAAUGACGGUAGCCGGAGAAGAAGCCCCGGCUAACUUCGUG